AGCUAAACUCUAGCCCAACCACCUCAUCAACUACUAACCAUAACCUACCUUCACUCAUAAACUAAAACAUUCUCCUAACUUAGUAUAGGUGAUAGAAAAGUCUCCUCCGGCGCGUUAGAGAACUGUACCGUAAGGGAAAGAUGAAAUAAUAAUGAAAACCUAAGCGACACAUAGCAAAGAUAAAUCCUUGUACCUCUCGCAUCAUGAUUUAGUAAGAACAACCAAGCAAAACGAGUUGAAGCUUGCCAUCCCGAAACCCAAGCGAGCUACUUGUAGGCAGCUACACCUGAGCGAACCCGUCUCUGUUGCAAAAGAGUGGGAUGACCUACUAGUAGAGGUGAAAAGCCAAUCGAGCUGGGUGAUAGCUGGUUGCCUGUGAAAAGAAUCUAAGUUCAUCCUUAAUCCUCCUCUAAGGACCUCAAACCGAGCCCCCACGUAACGGAUUAAGAGUAAUUCAAAGGGGGUACAGCUCCUUCGAAAAAGGAUACAACCUCCUGUAGCGGAUAAUAUACUUUCCCCCCCCCCUCCCCCGUAGGCCCUUAAGCAGCCACCAACAAAGAGUGCGUCAAAGCUCUUUCCUCAAAAAUAUAGAAACAACAUGACUCCCUCCACACCAACAGGCCAACCUAUCACAAUAGGUGAAUUAAUGCUAAAAUGAGUAACUAGGACUACUUCCUCUAAAGCGCAAACUUACAUCAUUAUAUUAUUAACAGUACUCAAUUAAUACCACAACUCCAACAAGCCUCCAUAUUAAAACUACUCUGUUAACCCGACCCAGGAGCGCCCACUAGAAAGACUAAAAUCUGUAAAAGGAACUAGGCAAAUCCAAGACCCGACUGUUUACCAAAAACAUAGCCUCCAGCAAACCCAGUAUUGAAGGUGAUGCCUGCCCAGUGACCACCUGGUUCAACGGCCGCGGUAUCCUAACCGUGCGAAGGUAGCGCAAUCAAUUGUCCCAUAAAUCGGGACUUGUAUGAAUGGCUAAACGAGGCCUUAACUGUCUCUUACAGAUAAUCAGUGAAAUUGAUCCCCCUGUGCAAAAGCAGGGAUAAACACAUAAGACGAGAAGACCCUGUGGAACUUAAAAAACAGAAGCCACCAUAUACACAUACCCACCUAUUAGGUUUACAACUCCAUAGUACGGACACUGGCUUACAUUUUUUCGGUUGGGGCGACCUUGGAGAAAAGAAAACCCUCCAAAAAUAAGAUCUCCCUUCUUAACUAAGAACAACCCCUCAAAGUGCUAAUAGUAACCAGACCCAAUAAAAAUUGAUCAAUGGACCAAGCUACCCCAGGGAUAACAGCGCAAUCUCUCCUAAGAGCCCCUAUCGACGGAGAGGUUUACGACCUCGAUGUUGGAUCAGGACAUCCUAAUGGUGCAGCCGCUAUUAAGGGUUCGUUUGUUCAACGAUUAACAGUCCUACGUGAUCUGAGUUCAGACCGGAGCAAUCCAGGUCGGUUUCUAUCUAUGUAACACUUUCCCUAGUACGAAAGGAUCGGGGAAGUAAGGCCAAUACCACAAGCACGCCUUCUCCCUAAAUAAUGACCCCCACUAAAUUAUGAAAGGAAUUCCUAUAUCACCCCCAGCCCUAGAUAAGGGCC
This 1602-nucleotide ribosomal RNA is filed under the name Accipiter nisus (Eurasian sparrowhawk). RNAcentral describes it as "16S ribosomal RNA". It matches the Rfam family "Bacterial large subunit ribosomal RNA". Lineage: Eukaryota; Metazoa; Chordata; Aves; Accipitriformes; Accipitridae. The record is from RNAcentral.